Molecule: ribosomal RNA, 253 nt
Filed under: uncultured bacterium
Lineage: Bacteria
Description: partial 16S ribosomal RNA
Rfam family: Bacterial small subunit ribosomal RNA
Source: RNAcentral
UACGUAGGGGGCAAGCGUUGUCCGGAUUUACUGGGCGUAAAGAGCGUGUAGGCGGCCACGCAGGUCCGUUGUGAAAACUGGAGGCUUAACCUCCAGACGUCGACGGAAACCGUAUGGCUAGAGUCCGGAAGAGGAGAGUGGAAUUCCUGGUGUAGCGGUGAAAUGCGCAGAUAUCAGGAAGAACACCAAUGGCGAAGGCAGCUCUCUGGGACGGUACUGACGCUGAGACGCGAAAGCGUGGGGAGCGAACAGG